Molecule: ribosomal RNA, 439 nt
Filed under: uncultured bacterium
Lineage: Bacteria
Description: partial 16S ribosomal RNA
Rfam family: Bacterial small subunit ribosomal RNA
Source: RNAcentral
CCUACGGGAGGCAGCAGUGGGGGAUAUUGCACAAUGGUCGAAAGCCUGAUGCAGCGACGCCGCGUGAGGGAAGACGGUCUUCGGAUUGUAAAACUCUGUCUUUGGGGAAGAAAAUGCCGGUACCCAAAGAGGAAGCUCCGUCUAACUACGUGCCAGCAGCCGCGGUAAUACGUCGGGAGCCAGCGUUGUCCGGAAUUAUGGGGUGUAAAGGGAGCGUAGGCGGGAUGGGAAGUAGACUGUUAAAUCCAGCGGCUCAACCGGUGGCUGCGUUUGAAACUGCCGUUCUUGAGUGAAGUAGAGGCAGGCGGAAUGCGUGGUGUAGCGGUGAAAUGCGUAGAUAUUAGGAGGAACACCAGUGGCGAAGGCGGCCUGCUGGGUUUACACUGACGCUGAGGCUCGAACGCGUGGGUAGCAAACAGGAUUAGAUACCCUAGUAGUC